AUUGAACGCUGGCGGAAUGCUUCACACAUGCAAGUCGAACGGCAGCACGGGGGCAACCCUGGUGGCGAGUGGCGAACGGGUGAGUAAUACAUCGGAACGUGCCCAGUCGUGGGGGAUAACGUAGCGAAAGCUACGCUAAUACCGCAUACGAACUCUGGUUGAAAGCGGGGGACUCGCAAGAGCCUCGCGCGAUUGGAGCGGCCGAUGGCAGAUUAGGUA
RNAcentral lists this ribosomal RNA (219 nucleotides) under uncultured bacterium. RNAcentral's name for it is "partial 16S ribosomal RNA". It matches the Rfam family "Bacterial small subunit ribosomal RNA", at positions 30 to 247 of the family's 1533-position model. The record is from RNAcentral.